Molecule: long non-coding RNA, 426 nt
Filed under: Strigops habroptila (Kakapo)
Lineage: Eukaryota; Metazoa; Chordata; Aves; Psittaciformes; Psittacidae
Description: lncRNA (ENSSHBG00005018408.1)
Source: RNAcentral
UUUUUUUUUUUUUCCGCCCAGAUGCCCCGUAGCGACCCAGAGAAACUCCUGGAUGCUCCAUAGAGCCCUAUACACCCUAUAGACAUCGCAUAGAGCCGUACGGUGACCCAUAGACACCCAACAGCAACUCAUGGACCCUCCAUAGCAGCCCAUAUAGACCCCAUAGUGACCCAUAGAUCCCCAUAACUACCCACAGAGGCCCCAGAGUGACCCACACACUGCCCCAUGGCAACCCAUAUCACCCCAUAGACAUCCUCCACUGCCCCAGAUGUAUGGUGACCGAUAGACACCUGACAGCAACCCAUGGACCCUCCAUAGCGACCCAUAUAGAUCCCAUAUGACCCAUAGAUCUCCAUAGCAACCCACAGCAACCCAUAGAGACCCCAGAGUGCCCCACACACUGUCCCAUGGCAACCCAUAGCACCC